Molecule: ribosomal RNA, 492 nt
Filed under: uncultured bacterium
Lineage: Bacteria
Description: partial 16S ribosomal RNA
Rfam family: Bacterial small subunit ribosomal RNA
Source: RNAcentral
AGUGAACGCUGGCGGUAGGCUUAACACAUGCAAGUCGAACGGCAGCACAGUAAGAGGUUGCUCUUACGGGUGGCGAGUGGCGGACGGGUGAGGAAGACAUCGGAAUCUACUUUUUCGUGGGGGACAACGUAGGGAAACUUACGCCAAUACCGCAUACGACCUACGGGUGAAAGCAGGGGAUCUUCGGACCUUGCGCGAGUGAAUGAGCCGAUGUCGGAUUAGCUAGGUGGCGGGGGAAAGGCCCACCAAGGCGACGAUCCGUAGCUGGUCUGAGAGGAUGAUCAGCCACACUGGAACUGAGACACGGUCCAGGCUCCUACGGGAGGCAGCAGUGGGGAAUAUUGGACAAUGGGCGCAAGCCUGAUCCAGCCAUACCGCGUGGGUGAAGAAGGCCUUCGGGUUGUAAAGCCCUUUUGUUGGGAAAGAAAAGCAGCAGGUUAAUACCCCGCUGUUAUGACGGUACCCAAAGAAUAAGCACCGGCUAACUUCGUG